RNAcentral lists this ribosomal RNA (253 nucleotides) under uncultured archaeon. Its description in RNAcentral is "partial 16S ribosomal RNA". It matches the Rfam family "Archaeal small subunit ribosomal RNA", at positions 474 to 727 of the family's 1478-position model. The record is from RNAcentral.
AACCAGCACCUCAAGUGGUCAGGAUGAUUAUUGGGCCUAAAGCAUCCGUAGCCGGCUCUGUAAGUUUUCGGUUAAAUCUGUACGCUCAACGUACAGGCUGCCGGGAAUACUGCAGAGCUAGGGAGUGGGAGAGGUAGGCGGUACUCGGUAGGAAGGGGUAAAAUCCUGUCAUCCUGUGAGGACCACCUGUUGCGAAGGCGCCACACUAGAACGGAUCCGACGGUCAGGGACGAAGCCUAGGGGCACGAACCGG